CGCUGGCGGCAGGCCUAACACAUGCAAGUCGAGCGGUAGCACAGAGAGCUUGCUCUCGGGUGACGAGCGGCGGACGGGUGAGUAAUGUCUGGGAAACUGCCUGAUGGAGGGGGAUAACUACUGGAAACGGUAGCUAAUACCGCAUAACGUCGCAAGACCAAAGAGGGGGACCUUCGGGCCUCUUGCCAUCAGAUGUGCCCAGAUGGGAUUAGCUAGUAGGUGGGGUAACGGCUCACCUAGGCGACGAUCCCUAGCUGGUCUGAGAGGAUGACCAGCCACACUGGAACUGAGACACGGUCCAGACUCCUACGGGAGGCAGCAGUGGGGAAUAUUGCACAAUGGGCGCAAGCCUGAUGCAGCCAUGCCGCGUGUAUGAAGAAGGCCUUCGGGUUGUAAAGUACUUUCAGCGAGGAGGAAGGCAUUGUGGUUAAUAACCGCAGUGAUUGACGUUACUCGCAGAAGAAGCACCGGCU
This 473-nucleotide ribosomal RNA is filed under the name uncultured bacterium. RNAcentral's name for it is "bacterial SSU rRNA". It matches the Rfam family "Bacterial small subunit ribosomal RNA", at positions 34 to 498 of the family's 1533-position model. The record is from RNAcentral.